Molecule: ribosomal RNA, 425 nt
Filed under: uncultured bacterium
Lineage: Bacteria
Description: partial 16S ribosomal RNA
Rfam family: Bacterial small subunit ribosomal RNA
Source: RNAcentral
GUUAGGAAUAUUGGACAAUGGGCGCAAGCCUGAUCCAGCCAUGCCGCGUGAGUGAUGAAGGCCUUCGGGUUGUAAAGCUCUUUAGCCGAUGAUUAUAAUGACUGUAGUCGGAAAAUAAGCCCCGGCUAACUUCGUGCCAGCAGCCGCGGUAAUACGAAGGGGGCGAGCGUUAUUCGGAAUCACUGGGCGUAAAGCGUGCGUAGGCGGCUUUGCAAGUUGGGAGUGAAAGCCCAGGGCUCAACCCUGGAAUUGCUCUCAAAACUGCAAGGCUCGAAUUCGGGAGAGGAUAGCGGAAUUGUCAGUGUAGCAGUGAAAUGCGUAGAUAUUGACAGGAACACCAGUGGCGUAAGCGGCUAUCUGGACCGAUAUUGACGCUGAGGCACGAAAGCGUGGGGAUCAAACAGGAUUAGAUAUCCCGGUAGUCC